CAGCCGUGUCUGUGGGAUUCAGCCGUCUCUGGCGGUGUACUUCCCACAGAUGGGUCAACAUCAGUUUUGGCCGGUGGAUAAUGGCAGGAGGAAAGUGGCACCUUUGGGUGUGUUAUAGCCUCUUGUCACAUACACUGGCUGAGACUGAGGAAUGCAGCUUGCCUUUAUGGCCGGGGUUUNCCAGUUCAAGCUUAGGAUGUUGACUUAAUGGCCUUAAACGCCCGUUUGAAACACGGACCAAGGAGUCUAACAUAUAUGCGAGUGUUU
This 267-nucleotide ribosomal RNA is filed under the name Rhizophagus intraradices. Lineage: Eukaryota; Fungi; Glomeromycota; Glomeromycetes; Glomerales; Glomeraceae. The record is from RNAcentral.